GGUGAACGCUGGCGGCGUGCCUAAUACAUGCAAGUCGAGCGAACAGACGAGGAGCUUGCUCCUCUGACGUUAGCGGCGGACGGGUGAGUAACACGUGGAUAACCUACCUAUAAGACUGGGAUAACUUCGGGAAACCGGAGCUAAUACCGGAUAAUAUAUUGAACCGCAUGGUUCAAUAGUGAAAGACGGUUUUGCUGUCACUUAUAGAUGGAUCCGCGCCGCAUUAGCUAGUUGGUAAGGUAACGGCUUACCAAGGCAACGAUGCGUAGCCGACCUGAGAGGGUGAUCGGCCACACUGGAACUGAGACACGGUCCAGACUCCUACGGGAGGCAGCAGUAGGGAAUCUUCCGCAAUGGGCGAAAGCCUGACGGAGCAACGCCGCGUGAGUGAUGAAGGUCUUCGGAUCGUAAAACUCUGUUAUUAGGGAAGAACAAAUGUGUAAGUAACUGUGCACGUCUUGACGGUACCUAAUCAGAAAGCCACGGCUAACUACGUG
This 497-nucleotide ribosomal RNA is filed under the name uncultured bacterium. Its description in RNAcentral is "partial 16S ribosomal RNA". It matches the Rfam family "Bacterial small subunit ribosomal RNA", at positions 28 to 507 of the family's 1533-position model. The record is from RNAcentral.